AUGUAGCUCACUGGUAGAGCGCUUGCCUAACAUGCACAAGGCCCUGGGUUCAAUACCCAGUAU
This 63-nucleotide transfer RNA is filed under the name Urocitellus parryii (Arctic ground squirrel). RNAcentral's name for it is "Spermophilus parryii (Arctic ground squirrel) tRNA". It matches the Rfam family "tRNA", at positions 5 to 66 of the family's 71-position model. Rfam says of the family: Transfer RNA (tRNA) molecules are approximately 80 nucleotides in length. Their secondary structure includes four short double-helical elements and three loops (D, anti-codon, and T loops). Further hydrogen bonds mediate the characteristic L-shaped molecular structure. tRNAs have two regions of fundamental functional importance: the anti-codon, which is responsible for specific mRNA codon recognition, and the 3' end, to which the tRNAs corresponding amino acid is attached (by aminoacyl-tRNA synthetases). tRNAs cope with the degeneracy of the genetic code in two manners: having more than one tRNA (with a specific anti-codon) for a particular amino acid; and 'wobble' base-pairing, i.e. permitting non-standard base-pairing at the 3rd anti-codon position. The record is from Rfam by way of RNAcentral. RNAcentral also lists the same sequence under 1 other name. Lineage: Eukaryota; Metazoa; Chordata; Mammalia; Rodentia; Sciuridae.